CCUGCAGGGUAGUGCGAGAAGGCCGUGAACCCGGUCAGACCCGGGAGGGAGCAGCCGUAAGCGUUACCUUUCUGUGAUACUGCCCUGCGCUUUU
RNAcentral lists this signal recognition particle RNA (94 nucleotides) under Bdellovibrionales bacterium. RNAcentral describes it as "signal recognition particle sRNA small type". It matches the Rfam family "Bacterial small signal recognition particle RNA". From Rfam's summary of the family: The signal recognition particle (SRP) is a universally conserved ribonucleoprotein involved in the co-translational targeting of proteins to membranes. Archaeal SRP consists of a 7S RNA and homologues of the eukaryotic SRP19 and SRP54 proteins. The record is from RNAcentral. Lineage: Bacteria; Pseudomonadati; Bdellovibrionota; Bdellovibrionia; Bdellovibrionales.